RNAcentral lists this ribosomal RNA (497 nucleotides) under uncultured bacterium. Its description in RNAcentral is "partial 16S ribosomal RNA". It matches the Rfam family "Bacterial small subunit ribosomal RNA", at positions 28 to 507 of the family's 1533-position model. The record is from RNAcentral.
GAUGAACGCUGGCGGCGUGCCUAAUACAUGCCAGUCGAGCGAACGGACGAGAAGCUUGCUUCUCUGAUGUUAGCGGCGGACGGGUGAGUAACACGUUGAUAACCUACCUAUAAGACUGGGAUAACUUCGGGAAACCGGAGCUAAUACCGGAUAAUAUUUUGAACCGCAUGGUUCAAAAGUGAAAGACGGUCUUGCUGUCACUUAUAGAUGGAUCCGCGCUGCAUUAGCUAGUUGGUAAGGUAACGGCUUACCAAGGCAACGAUGCAUAGCCGACCUGAGAGGGUGAUCGGCCACACUGGAAAUGAGACAAGGUCCAGACUCCUACGGGAGGCAGCAGUAGGGAAUCUUCCGCAAUGGGCGAAAGCCUGACGGAGCAACGCCGCGUGAGUGAUGAAGGUCUUCGGAUCGUAAAACUCUGUUAUUAGGGAAGAACAUAUGUGUAAGUAACUGUGCACAUCUUUACGGUACCUAAUCAGAAAGCCACGGCUAACUACGUG